AGACUUGAAGCCACACAGAUUGUGCACUCGCCGGAGCAGCGGCCCACCAGCCCCCGGCUCCGGCGCCACCAUCUUCGCGCUAAGCUCUGGCCAAGGCCGCUGCGGCAUCGCGGUGAUCCGGACCAGCGGCUCCGCCAGCGGCCACGCCCUCCGAAUUCUCACGGCACCCCGAGACCUGCCCCCUGCUCGCCACGCCAGCGUGCGCCUCCUCAGAGACCCCCGCUCCGGGGAGCCUCUGGACCGCGCACUGGUACUCUGGUUCCCAGGUCCCCAGAGUUUCACUGGUGAGGACUGCGUGGAGUUCCACGUGCAUGGAGGCCCGGCAGUGGUGAGCGGCGUCCUGCAGGCCUUGGGCAGCGUGCCAGGGCUUCGACCGGCGGAGGCAGGCGAGUUCACCAGGCGGGCGUUCGCCAAUGGGAAGCUGAACCUGACCGAAGUGGAGGGGCUGGCGGACCUUAUCCACGCAGAAACCGAGGCGCAGCGGCGGCAGGCCCUCAGGCAGCUGGACGGGGAGCUGGGCCACCUCUGCCGUGGCUGGGCCGAGACCCUCACCAA
Molecule: small RNA, 555 nt
Filed under: Pongo abelii (Sumatran orangutan)
Lineage: Eukaryota; Metazoa; Chordata; Mammalia; Primates; Hominidae
Description: processed transcript
Source: RNAcentral